This 406-nucleotide ribosomal RNA is filed under the name uncultured bacterium. RNAcentral's name for it is "partial 16S ribosomal RNA". It matches the Rfam family "Bacterial small subunit ribosomal RNA", at positions 30 to 526 of the family's 1533-position model. The record is from RNAcentral.
AUUGAACGCUGGCGGCAGGCCUAACACAUGCAAGUCGAACGAGUGGCGGACGGGUGAGUAAUGUCUGGGAACCUGCCUGAUGGAGGGGGAUAACUACUGGAAACGGUAGCUAAUACCGCAUACCAUCAGAUGUGCCCAGAGUGGAUUAGCUUGUUGGUGGGGUAACGGCUCACCAAGGCGACGAUCCAUAGCUGGUUUGAGAGGAUGACCAGCCAAACGGGAACUGAGACACGGUCCAGACGCCUACGGGAGGCAGCAGUGGGGAAUAUUGCACAAUGGGCGAAAGCCUGAUGCAGCCAUGCCGCGUGUAUGAAGAAGGCCUUCGGGUUGUAAAGUACUUUCAGCGGGGAGGCGUUACCCGCAGAAGAAGCACCGGCUAACUCCGUGCCAGCCGCCGCGGUAAUUC